AUUGAACGCUGGCGGCAGGCCUAACACAUGCAAGUCGAACGGUAACAUUUCUAGCUUGCUAGAAGAUGACGAGUGGCGGACGGGUGAGUAAUGCUUGGGAACUUGCCUUUGCGAGGGGGAUAACAGUUGGAAACGACUGCUAAUACCGCAUAAUGUCUUCGGACCAAACGGGGCUUCGGCUCCGGCGCAAAGAGAGGCCCAAGUGAGAUUAGCUAGUUGGUAAGGUAACGGCUUACCAAGGCGACGAUCUCUAGCUGUUCUGAGAGGAAGAUCAGCCACACUGGGACUGAGACACGGCCCAGACUCCUACGGGAGGCAGCAGUGGGGAAUAUUGCACAAUGGGGGAAACCCUGAUGCAGCCAUGCCGCGUGUGUGAAGAAGGCCUUCGGGUUGUAAAGCACUUUCAGUUGUGAGGAAAAGUUAGUAGUUAAUACCUGCUAGCCGUGACGUUAACAACAGAAGAAGCACCGGCUAACUCCGUGCCAGCAGCCGCGGUAAUACGGAGGGUGCGAGCGUUAAUCGGAAUUACUGGGCGUAAAGCGCACGCAGGCGGUUUGUUAAGCUAGAUGUGAAAGCCCCGGGCUCAACCUGGGAUGGUCAUUUAGAACUGGCAGACUAGAGUCUUGAGAGGGGAGUGGAAUUCCAGGUGGUAGCGGUGAAAUGCGUAGAUAUCUGGAGGAACAUCAGGUGGCGAAAGGCGACUCCCGGGCCAAAGGACUGACGCUUCAGGUGCCAAAGUGUGGGGUAGCGAACAGGAUUAAGAUACCCUGGUA
This 773-nucleotide ribosomal RNA is filed under the name Alteromonas sp. B377. RNAcentral describes it as "bacterial SSU rRNA". It matches the Rfam family "Bacterial small subunit ribosomal RNA", at positions 28 to 792 of the family's 1533-position model. The record is from RNAcentral. Lineage: Bacteria; Pseudomonadati; Pseudomonadota; Gammaproteobacteria; Alteromonadales; Alteromonadaceae.